This 267-nucleotide ribosomal RNA is filed under the name Pseudachorutes sp. RNAcentral describes it as "partial 28S ribosomal RNA". It matches the Rfam family "Eukaryotic large subunit ribosomal RNA", at positions 65 to 320 of the family's 3401-position model. Lineage: Eukaryota; Metazoa; Arthropoda; Collembola; Poduromorpha; Neanuridae. The record is from RNAcentral.
CUAACAAGGAUUCCCUUAGUAACGGCGAGUGAAAAGGGAAGAGCCCAGCGCUGAAUCUUAUGUCCCCCGGGCAUAAAGACAUGUGGCGUUUGGGACGAGGCAUUGCUUGUACUAAUUGACCAUCCAAGUCCCUCUUGAACGGGGCCAUAGCCCAUGGAGGGUGCUAGGCCCGUACGAUGGUUUUUGUGUACAAUGCGUCUCGUCCGUAGAGUCGGGUUGCUUGGGAGUGCAGCCGAAAUCAGGUGGUAAACUCCAUCUAAGGCUAAA